AUUCCAGCUCCAAUAGCGUAUAUUAAAGUUGUUGCGGUAAAAAAGCUCGUAGUUGGAUUUCUGUUGCGAAUGGCCGGUCUUCACUACGUGAGUGUAUCUGGUUCAAUCGUGGCAUCCUCAUAGGAAACGUUGCUGCGCUUCACUGCGUGGUGCGGUGCCUAUGACUUUUACUUUGAGGAAAUUAGAGUGUUCACGGCAGGCAAUCGCCCUGAAUAUGUUAGCAUGGAAUAAUAAUAUAGGAUCUUGGUUCUAUUUUGUUGGUUUCUAGAGCUAAGAUAAUGGUUAAUAGGAACAAUUGGGGGCAUUUGUAUUAACAUGUCAGAGGUGGAAUUCUUGGAUUAUGUUACGACAAACUACUGCGAAAGCAUUUGCCAAGGAUGUUUUCAUCA
RNAcentral lists this ribosomal RNA (389 nucleotides) under Syndiniales sp. RNAcentral's name for it is "partial small subunit ribosomal RNA". It matches the Rfam family "Eukaryotic small subunit ribosomal RNA", at positions 582 to 975 of the family's 1831-position model. Lineage: Eukaryota; Dinophyceae; Syndiniales. The record is from RNAcentral.